RNAcentral lists this long non-coding RNA (1440 nucleotides) under Equus caballus (horse). RNAcentral describes it as "lncRNA (ENSECAG00000048771.1)". The record is from RNAcentral. Lineage: Eukaryota; Metazoa; Chordata; Mammalia; Perissodactyla; Equidae.
AAAACGUGGAAGACCAGGAGUCCUCCCAACCAGACCUCAAGGACACUGGCUGGGCUGACUGACUUCAGACUUCUCCCUGUGAAGACUUGUUCCUGAAUGUUCACUUCUGCAAACAAACUGUGACAGAGAGAGAAGACAGACUGAGCUCCUUCUCAAAGCACAUCAACAAGGGCACUUGAAUGUCAAAGCACAAUGUUUGGAGACAUGGGCCUCUCGACUGGACUUCAUGGUCAGUGGAAUGCAUAUCGUAUGCAAUGAGACUGAUGGAAAGGGCAGAUCAGAGAUAAUGUACCGGAAGAGGUCAAUGACAGCAUCAUGAAUCCAAGAAGCUUUGAAUCUCAAACAACCUAGAUGGGAGUGGAGUUGAUGUAGUCUAGACAUUUUCCUUGGAUGACUCACAAAGUAAAUCUAGUGACGACCAAAAAGAGACAUCAAGGAGGAAUUCUGGAAUUCUCUGCACUGAAGAAGAGAGAAUGUCAGGCUCUCCCAAGACGGAGGAGAUGGUGUGUCACUACACUGCUGAAUCACACACAUGAAAAACAAGCCCUCCAACCAUGUAGUAAUUACAAACACAUUGCAUGACAGUGUUCGUCAGCUCCAGCAAGUAGUCUUCGGAGAAGCAAAAUCCAGAAACUCUUCCACGGUUACAACAGGAAAGUAUUUCAGUGGUUUAAGUCACAAAUCUAAGGAAUGUAAAUGGCCAGACUAUUUAAAUUUCUAGACAGAGGAGAUUUGUAAUCAGUAAAUUUCUUACCCUCAGUUCCUCCUAGGGGCCCUCAUUUGUGUUAAUAUAAUUCUCAAUAGUAAGUCCCUUACCACUGAUAAUAUUUUCAGCAAUGCACGGCACCAACUCUAGGCUAUAAUGCAGCAGUACAAUUGGAGACGGGUACAAUCUGACCACAGAACACUGGAACAUCUCUUAAAAAUUCCAAAACAAGUUUUAAAAAACAAAUUGGAAAUUUUUCCUCUUAAAGGAUGAAGUGUCGCCACUUGGAAAGAAGCUCUGUUGACAGUAUGUUAUUACAAACAUAUUUAGCCUUCUUGGAGUAAAGCGACUGAAAAAUGAAACAAUCUGGUUAAAUCAUUAAUUCUGCAACUGUUCAGCCCACAAAAGCAAUGUUCCAACUUAAGAAUAAGUUAACAUUUAUUGAGCACAAACGAUGUACCAGGCGUUGUGGUAAGUUCUAUAGGUUGGCUGAAAAAUCUAUCAGACAUAAUUCCUGCUAUGUCAAUCUCAAGGAUACACAAUUUAAUAAUGAAAAUGAGAUGUACCUAAAGAACAAAAACAGAGGUCAGGCCAUGGUGAGGAUUCAUCUUUUUUGGGUCAAAACCUUUUCAGAUGUGAUGAAAGCCAUAGGCUCCCUCACCAGAAAAAUGCACAUACACAUACACACACUCUGAUGCUUUUGCUUGCGAUUUAAUUCUGUGUGUGGAUUUGGG